UUGCACGCUGGCGGCCGGCCUAACCCCUGCAAGUCGCGCGGAUGAAGGGAGCUUGCUCCUGGCUUCAGCGGCGGACGGGUGAGUAAUGCCUAGGAAUCUGCCUGGUAGUGGGGGAUAACGUCCGGAAACGGGCGCUAAUACCGCAUACGUCCUGAGGGAGAAAGUGGGGGAUCUUCGGACCUCACGCUAUCAGAUGAGCCUAGGUCGGAUUAGCUAGUUGGUGGGGUAAAGGCCUACCAAGGCGACGAUCCGUAACUGGUCUGAGAGGAUGAUCAGUCACACUGGAACUGAGACACGGUCCAGACUCCUACGGGAGGCAGCAGCGGGGAAUAUUGGACAAUGGGCGAAAGCCUGAUCCAGCCAUGCCGCGUGUGUGAAGAAGGUCUUCGGAUUGUAAAGCACUUUAAGUUGGGAGGAAGGGCAGUAAGUUAAUACCUUGCUGUUUUGACGUUACCAACAGAAUAAGCACCGGCUAACUUCGUG
RNAcentral lists this ribosomal RNA (483 nucleotides) under uncultured bacterium. RNAcentral describes it as "partial 16S ribosomal RNA". It matches the Rfam family "Bacterial small subunit ribosomal RNA", at positions 30 to 507 of the family's 1533-position model. The record is from RNAcentral.